UGAGCUAGUAGCUGGCAAACCCUGGUGAUUCUCUGCUCCCCACAGUUCAGGGGUUACGACACGCCCUGUUUUUCACACGGGGGUUGGGGGGUUGACGACUCAGAGUGAGGCCCUCAGGCUUUCAGAGCCAGUGAUCACACCCCUGAGCCCCUCUGCUCUUUAAAUCUAAGGACAACAGUUCACAUAAACCUCACUCUUAAAACUGCCCAGGGUUGCUUUCCGAGGGUCUCACUUGCUUUGUCAAUCUAACUUCCCUUGAUUCGGGAAAGUUUUAGAUUUUCUGCUUGCUUUCUUCAACUCAUCCAAGAAUACCCAUUUUUUUCAACCUCCAAGUAUCUGUGCUGUUUCUGGAGUUUCUUUUGCUGUUAGUUUCUGAUUUUGCUCUGCUGUGAUCUGCUGAGAUACGAGGAGCUAGGUGCAUCCUCUCUCACCUGGCCAGGCUUGUUUUGAGCCAUGGACAGCAAUUCAUGUUAGAGAGAAUGCCACGGGCUGCUGAGAAGAAUGUGUAUUCCUUAUCUGCUGCACAGGACGUUACACAUUAAGUCACUGGAGUUUCUUCAUUGAUUUUCCCUUCAGGUGACCAUCUGCAGAGAAGAGUGGAGUCUGAAGACACUCAUUGUGAAGGCUGAUGCUGCUUGUCAACUCGACUUUAUUUGCAAAUGACAAAACACAGGCAGCUGGACACACCUGGGAGGAUUUUCUUGAUUGGAUCAUUUGAGGUGGAAGACCCACCCUAAAUCCUGCCCACACCUUCUGGUACAGAAAAGGACAUGGAAGAAGGAAGCUUUUGCAUUUUGGCUGCUUGCCCCAACUCUUGUUGGCAAGAUCAUCUCUACUGUUGCUAAGACAUCCACUCCUUCUCUGGUGUUAGAAUUGACUUCUUCAGGACUCCAGUGUAGACUGAAGACCAGCAGCUCUCUAGGAAUCCUUCAGGACUCCAGCAGCAGCAGCAGCCUGGGAGUGCUAAGAC
RNAcentral lists this long non-coding RNA (970 nucleotides) under Mus musculus (house mouse). RNAcentral's name for it is "long non-coding RNA chr9:105101311-105102281". The record is from RNAcentral. Lineage: Eukaryota; Metazoa; Chordata; Mammalia; Rodentia; Muridae.